RNAcentral lists this ribosomal RNA (253 nucleotides) under uncultured bacterium. RNAcentral's name for it is "partial 16S ribosomal RNA". It matches the Rfam family "Bacterial small subunit ribosomal RNA", at positions 524 to 776 of the family's 1533-position model. The record is from RNAcentral.
UACGGAGGGUGCAAGCGUUAUCCGGAUUUACUGGGUUUAAAGGGUGCGUAGGUGGACAGGAAAGUCAGUGGUGAAAUCUUCGAGCUUAACUCGGAAACUGCCAUUGAUACUAUUUGUCUUGAAUACUUUGGAGGUAAGCGGAAUAUGUCAUGUAGCGUUUAAAUGCUUAGAUAUGACAUAGAACACCGAUUGCGAAGGCAGCUUACUACACAGUUAUUGUCGCUGAGGCGCGAAAGCGUGGGGAUCCAACAGG